CAUCUCUCAAUUCAUGAUAUAUGAAACCAUCAAGGAGCGUAGCUCAUGGAAAUUGGAGCUCCAUUUUAACAUAUGCCUUGCAUUUACUUCAAGACUAUGGCAAAAACCCAUUUUGCUCCCCUCUUUUGAUGUGAAACCAAGUGGGUUUUAAUUUGUCAGUUCUCACAUACAAAAGGGCAUCAUGAGUAAACUCUGCCUCUUUUCCUCCUUUAUGAGUUUCCAAGAUUGUGCUAGGUGCUUUUAAGUGAAGGAGAAGGCUUAUCGAGAAAAUUCAGGGAAAUUAAAAAAAUGGAAAAACCUUCAGAGAGAGGGAGGUAAUGCAUGGAUGGUUGGCAGACUUAAACAAUUAUAAAAAAUUAUGCCCUCUUAAAAGGCAGGGUGUUCCAGAAGUAAGAGGAAAAAGUAAAAACUUGUAUUAAUUCUUUGGCCGACUGGUAUUGGACGGUUUUGACUUUUUGGUGACCUGUAUGGAUAUGAAUAUAACUUGGAUGGAAAGGUGGCUGGGUCUUGAUCCUAGCGUUGGAUCGGCCAACUCUGGUAGCAUUUGCUACAAGUUGAUGUUUGCAAAAGUUUUCUUCCUCCAGAAGGAGCAGGCUGGGAAGUAUUGCCCUAAGAGGACUUCAUAUGUCUACAGGGGCCAUAAUAGGUGCAGGCCCUGUCCAAUCAUAUUCGUAUAUUUUUAGUACUCAGCACAAUAUGUUAAAGAAGCGUGACAUGCUAGAUUUGGGUUGGGCAUGUAUCUUUUAGAAGCUAAAAUAUGUGGUGACUAUGAGUAUUUCACUGUCUUCAAUCAGAAAUGUGUUUCCCUUGUUUUAGUUUCGCUAGAUAUUUGGCACGAUCCCACCUUUGCGAUUGGGAUUGAAUUUUUGGUUUUUAAGUAUUUGGGUUCUACUUCAUGCUUUAUAUCCAAUGUUGAAUGAUUUUCCGUGAGUGACAUUGCAAUCUGCCAGCAAAUAUAUUUCAAGGUGUCACAUAAUAUCACAUUCUCGAGAUAUGCAUAAAUAUGACCAUCAAAGCUUGAUGUCCUUAUGUUGAUUAUUUCCUAUAUUAUUACAUAUAAUUUUAUUUGAUAUAUUUUUGUAGUUAAUGUUUUUUCUCAACUUUUUGCAGGUUACGGCUUCUGCUUGGUUGAAUGACCUGAGGAAUCAGAUUGAACGCACCAGGGUUCUGAGCACAGUUUAUCGCUCUGCUUCAGCUUUGGGUUCUCGACUUCCAUCCAUGGCCAGUGCUAAAGCCAAAGUUGCUGGUGCUGGUGCAAUAUUACGUCCAGUUUCCAGCGGUACUCAGGUAUGUAUAUUGCGGUCAUGCAAUCAGUUCUGCUUUGGAUUGUUGUGGCAAGGGAAAAUAGCAGCUGAGGUGCCCCAACCUUUGAUGUGUUGCACUUUGGUCUGUAACCUCUAAUAUGAAGCAUUUUUGUCCCAAGGUUUCAUUUUAGUUUUAGUAGCACAUGGUCCUCAGGUCGACAACUUUACCCAUAUUUUUAGUCAACAAGUCAAAAUUUUAUUAAAAAAGACGAUUUCACCCUUAUUUUAUGUAGACAAAAAAUGAAAUAAAUAACCAAAGAAACAAUUAGGAAUAAAAGAGAAGGCAAAGGAAAAAUGGGAAAAAAACAAAGAGAACAAUUUGGGUUCUCUUCUCCAGUCGGUCACCCCACCACCAUACCACCCUCCUCUAAUCUCCAUUUGCCACCAGUGACCAGCCAACCAUACUUGUAGAGACAUAAACCAGCUGCAACCAACAACCUUCAAAACUGAACCCUCAGAACCCCCAAGUCUAGUCUGUAUUCAACCACCCAAAGAAAUAAAACUGCGAGAGAGAUUGUUCAAUAUGUUUAUAGCAACACAGAAAAAAAAAUGCUAGUUUAAGCAUGUCUCCAUAAAUUUUAGGUAAAAAUUGUACUUGUGAAUUUUUUCUUUCUUUCUCCUUGUCUCUGUUAAAUGAAAAAUGAAGGAAUACUCUAGUAACAUUCAUUUUAAUUUUAUACUAAAUUUCUUGUACGGUCUAAUCCGGUUCGCCAAACACACCCUUGACGGUUUUGCUUUAUGCACUAGAAGUACAUCUCUGAUUGACACUGUGAUAUGGGUUUGAGAAUAUGACCCUAGAGGCUGUCCAUUUUGCCUUCCCUAUCAGUACCACUAACAAAAUACUGGGAGCUUCAUAAUGUGAGGGGUGGUAUUACCUUUAACCAUAUGUGCCUAUGUAUACUUUUUGAUCUUUAUAAUUCCAGAUGUAUUUAGUUCUAUUAUAUAGGACUGAUGUUGUUGUGUUAACUAGGUUGUUAUGAAGAGAGCACAAAGCAUGGCUCAGGCAGCUUGGUCACGCCCUUACCUACGCUCAUGGUCAUGCAUAGGUCCACGUCGUCGAUCCUCAAUUGCUCAGAUAAAUUAUAAUGAAGGAGAAGACUCAUCAGGAUCUUCUUCAACUCAAAGAGAAACUUCGGAGCCUUUUCUCACGACCACUGAAGAGACAAGAACGGCUAUUGAAAAUAUGGAACUUCCUGUAUCUUCUUCUGAUGGAAUGGUUGAGAGUUCAGACAACUUUAUAGAUGAGGUUGGUGUCUCAGAUAGUAUGGCUACUAAGGAUGAUGAUGACGAGGUUGCGUAUGAUGUAAGGCAUGAAGAUCACACAAUGGAAAUAGAGUUGUGGGAACAACUCGAGCUCAAGCUUAAUGAGCAAGCUGAUAGUGGUGAAGCCGAUGUGGCCAAGGAAAUUAGGGAAGAAGAAGAAGCAGCCAUUGCAGAAGUAAGUGACAGCCAGACCCAAAGCUCUAUCCCAGAUGCCAAGGAGGUGCAUAGAUUUUUCCCUCCGGGAAAGAUAAUGCAUAUUGUGACACUAACAUCCGACGAAGUGGGCCGUGAGAGUGAUAGCAGUAUUUCCAAUGACGGGGACCAAAGCCAGCCGGAGGAAGAGGCGAAGGUUGGAAUUUUUCUCACUCCCAGGUCAUUGUAUAGUAAAUUAAGGCUAUCGCAUACCAUGAUAAACGACCAUUUUAUGCCGGCUUAUAGAAGACGAAUUGAAAAGCUGAUUAAAGAACUUGAGAAUGAAGUGACUUCUGAUACACACAAUUGUAGCUGAGAAAUUGAACAGGAAGUGCUGUAAACUGUUGGUAGUGAAUUUUGGUCGCAUCUUAAGUGUUAGCAUCAAGAGGACUACACAUAUCCUUAAAGGUGACGUCUUUAACCACAAUUCUUUGUUCUGAAAAUGAUUUUGACAUGUGCAUAGGCUUAAAGAGUUUUCAUUUCCAUUGAUAGUGAGAGUCCCUUUCGCAAUCAUGAAUUCUAUAUUACAUCAUUAAAAGCAUUAUUUUCUUUGGUCCAUCGUCUAUUAUAAAUACACCAAUCACCAUAUGAAUGAGAAAAUGUUGCCUAACUUAUUUAACAAUUUUAAUGCCCACUUGACUCUUUGCACCACUUUGAAUCUCUAAAUCAUUUCAUUUAAUUCUUAAUUUGCUUUGAAAAGACAUUCUCUUUUUCUUGGCCACCCAUAAUUUGCACGUAAUGAUCCUACAAUCGCUAGUGUGUACGCACGAAUAUAUUCAAGUUUAUACACGAGGACGAGGAAGGUAAACGUGAAAGAAUGUGUUACAAGAGACGCAUAAGAAGUCGACUAGAAGUUCGUACACCUCCAAAUUUGUUUCUUGAUUCUAUUUUGAUCUUAUUCGCAAAAGACCAACAAUAAGAUUCAUUCUAGUUUAUCAAAAUCCAAGAAAAAUUUAAAAUGGAUAUGAAGUAGAAGAGGCAAAAGUCGGAGCAAAAAUGGCCUUUGAUUUGUCCAUGCAUUUAUUUCUUAGAAUGGGCAUGCAAAGUCUACCAUAGUUUGGGGCAAAAUUAAAUGAGGUAGAUAUAAAUUAAUGAGAAUGUGAAAGAAACCUAACAUUGCAUCAAACGAUUUCUUCUUUGCAUAAUAAAAAAGAAUGAUUUUCUUUCUUUUUUUUUUAUUAUUAUUUUAGUGUAAAAAAUGAAUAAAAGUUUUUAGUUUCACAUUUGGAUAGUCCUGAAAUCUAGCUGGAAAAUGAAAAUAACACGUCUGAGUGGAACACGUGGCAACAAACCAUUGAUUGAUACGGCAUAAAGAAAGCAACAUAAUCCUUCUUCUUUAUAUACGCAGAUAACACGGAGUCGACGAAUAACAGUAAUAUACAAAUUACUUCAUACCAGCGACUGUUUACGUGUACUCUACCUCCAUUAAUCGAUCUCUCUUUUUAAAAUUUAUUUGAUUUGAUUUGAUUGAUUCACAUUCAUAUUCAAAAAUCUCUCUAUACCAAAUCAUCGUAUCCAGUUUUCUGAAAUGUCUUUCAUGCACACGUUCUUCGUUCCUGAGGAAGCCAAGGUGGGCGACUGGGAGAAGGAAAGAUAAGAAAACCCAAAUUAAACAGGAUUUACUUGUAGAUAUCCCUCUUGAUCAGGUAAUUUCUUGGCAGAAUUCUGUUUUUUAUUUCAUGAAAAACCCAUGUUUAGAUUCAUCAUGUUUGUGUGAAUUUGUGGUUUUUCAGGCAUGUCGACGAGUGUAUUCGGUGAUUCGAUGGUGAAAAUUACAGGACAAAAUGAGCUUGAUUUUGUCGAAUGCGAUUGCUGUGGAUUGACAGAGGAAUGCACCCUGUCCUACAUAGAGACAGUACGCGAGCGUUAUAAGGGAAAAUGGAUUUGUGGGCUCUGUUCCGAGGCCGUAAACGAUGAAGUUAAGCAAAAAUCAAUAAGCCCAGAAGAGGCCAUGGCUCGCCAUUUCAGCUUCUGCUACAAAUUUAGGUUGGCUGGGCCACCGCCGGACCCAACCCGGCAUUUGAUCACCGCCAUGAGACAGGUUUUAAGAAAAAGCUUAGACAGUCCCAAGUUCAUAAGGUCGAUGCCAAGUAGUCCCACGAAGAACAGGGGAGAUAUUAGCAUGGGGCUUACUCGAUCGGAGAGCUGUAUUCCGAGUCUGUCUGAAUCGGUUUGUUGUGGAAUUGAUGAAGAUUGUGAAUAACCAGUAAAUUCAAAGUUUCACUGUGUAUAAACAAGAAACCAAUGAAGUUUAACUCAAAAAGUGCUUAAUUCAGAUGUAUCAAUAUCAUCAAUCAUGUUAAGAAAUGAAAAUGGAAAUAAAAAUUACUUGCCUAUAAUUUGUGUCUGGUGUUUUCUUUCAAUUAUGUGGUUAACAAUAAUUGAGAUUCAUAUUCAGAUUUUAUAAUGAUAGGCUAUUGUCAUGUCUGUAUCUUGACGCGAAUCGAAUUGAAUACAAGCAAGCAAUUUG
This 5229-nucleotide long non-coding RNA is filed under the name Olea europaea subsp. europaea. The record is from RNAcentral. Lineage: Eukaryota; Viridiplantae; Streptophyta; Magnoliopsida; Lamiales; Oleaceae.